GUGUCACCUGUGUGUCACCUGUGUGUCACCCCGGGGACAGGGACACGGCCAGGGACAGAGCUGGGGACAAAGGGACAGGGACAGGGUCAGUGUCACCUCCCUGUGUCACCUCCCUGUGUCACCUGUGUGCCACCCCAGGGACAGGGACACGGCUAGGGACAGAGCUGGGGACAAAGGGACAAAGGGACAGGGUCAGUGUCACCUCCCUGUGUCACCUCUGGGGACAGGGACAGGGACACGGCUAGGGACAGCGCUGGGGACAAAGGGACAGGGACAGGGUCAGUGUCACCUGUGUGCCACCUGUGUCACCCUAGGGACAGGGACAGCGCUGGGGACAAAGGGACAGGGACAGGGUCAGUGUCACCUGUGUGCCACCUGUGUCACCCUAGGGACAGGGACAGGGUCAGUGUCACCUCCCUGUGUCACCUCUGGGGCACAGGGACAGGGACACGGCCAGGGACAGUGCUGGGGACAAAGGGACAGGGUCACCUGUGUGUCACCUGUGUGUCACCCCAGGGACAGUGCUGGGGACAAAGGGACAGGGACAGGGUCACCUGUGUGUCACCUGUGUGUCACCUGUGUGUCACCCCGGGGACAGGGACACGGCCAGGGACAGCGCUGGGGACAGGGACAGGGACAGGGUCACCUGUGUGUCACCUGUGUGUCACCCCAGGGACAGGGACACGGCCAGGGACAGAGCUGGGGACAAAGGGACAAAGGGACAGGGUCAGUGUCACCUCCCUGUGUCACCUCCCUGUGUCACCUGUGUGCCACCCCAGGGACAGGGACACGGCUAGGGACAGAGCUGGGGACAAAGGGACAAAGGGACAGGGUCAGUGUCACCUCCCUGUGUCACCCUCUGGGGACAGGGACAGGGACUCGCGGCUAGGGACAGCGGGGCAAAGGGACAGGGACAGGGUCAGUGUCACCUGUGUGCCACCUGUGUCACCCUAGGGACAGGGACAGCGCUGGGGACAAAGGACAGGGACAGGGUCAGUGUCACCUGUGUGCCACCUGUGUCACCC
RNAcentral lists this long non-coding RNA (1025 nucleotides) under Camarhynchus parvulus. Its description in RNAcentral is "lncRNA (ENSCPVG00000017526.1)". The record is from RNAcentral. Lineage: Eukaryota; Metazoa; Chordata; Aves; Passeriformes; Thraupidae.